Molecule: non-coding RNA, 722 nt
Organism: Monodelphis domestica (gray short-tailed opossum)
Lineage: Eukaryota; Metazoa; Chordata; Mammalia; Didelphimorphia; Didelphidae
Source: the annotation of a RefSeq genome assembly
AUGGUGUCUCACAACUCAGGGCCCCUCCUGCCCCCCCAUAUCCAAAGCACAGCUGAGGCCAAGUCCUUGGCUACACAGAAGAUAAAAGAUGCUGCCAGCAGAGUCCAGGGACUGCACUGUGUCCCAGCAUCCCAACCAAACCAGCACAAGUGGAGGGGCCAGUGUUCCUCUGUCACAGCUGCAGAGGGGGAAGGGGAAGGAGAUGGGGGUCAGAGAAAAAUCACUGGCAGGUUUUUGUGCGGGUCUGCUUCACAGUGUGCUGUGUUCGGCGGUGGGACCAGGCUGACCGUCACAGGUCAGCCCAAGGCAUCCCCCAUGGUCAUGGCCUAUGGUCCAUCCCAAGAUGAGCUGAGAACCCCCACAGCCACACUCACGUGUCUCAUCAAUGACUUCUACCCAGGCUCCCUGGAUGUGGCCUGGACCAAGAAUGGCUCCCCUGUGUCCAGUGGGGUGCUCACCAGCAGGCCAGUCCGCCAGACUGACAACAAGUACUCAGCCAGCAGUUACCUCUCAGUCAACUCCAAUCAAUGGGGGAGAGAAGACAUAUUUAUCUGCAAGGUGACCCAUGAGGGCCAGGUCAUACAGAAGGAGCUGUCUGCCAGCCAGUGCACAUAGAGGCCCUCACCCUCCAGGACCCCUCACUCCAUCCCCACACAUGGGCAGCCCCAGCUCAUCAACCACUCUCCCAUGCUUCUAAUAAACACUUUUCCUUUCUCAUUCAA